UACGUAGGUGGCAAGCGUUGUCCGGAUUUACUGGGCGUAAAGAGCGCGCAGGCGGUCGUUCAAGUCGCGUGUGAAAGCCCCCGGCUCAACUGGGGAGGGUCACGCGAUACUGAUCGACUCGAAGGCAGGAGAGGGUAGUGGAAUUCCCGGUGUAGUGGUGAAAUGCGUAGAUAUCGGGAGGAACACCAGUGGCGAAGGCGAAUCUCUGGACAGUUACUGACACUGAGGCACGAAGGCCAGGGGAGCAAACGGG
This 253-nucleotide ribosomal RNA is filed under the name uncultured bacterium. RNAcentral describes it as "partial 16S ribosomal RNA". It matches the Rfam family "Bacterial small subunit ribosomal RNA", at positions 524 to 776 of the family's 1533-position model. The record is from RNAcentral.